RNAcentral lists this unclassified non-coding RNA (145 nucleotides) under uncultured Chalara. Its description in RNAcentral is "sequence contains ITS2". The record is from RNAcentral. Lineage: Eukaryota; Fungi; Ascomycota; Leotiomycetes; Helotiales.
CAACACUCAAGCUCUGCUUGGUAUUGGACCGCAUCAGUUCUGAUCGGUCUUAAAAUCAGUGGCGGUGCCAUCGUGCUCUAAGCGUAGUAAUACUCCUCGCUACAGAGUCUCGGUGUGUGCUUGCCAGCAACCCCCAACUUUCUAA